UCAGCAAAAAUAAAACGUCACGAAACAUCAAACAUUCACAGAAAUAUCACAGGUAACAGUCUACAAGUAACAGUCUGCAGGUAACAGUCUACAGGUGUGCACUGAGGGCAGGUAAUAGUCUACAAGUAACAGUCUACAGGUAACAGUCUACAGGUAACAGUCUACAGGUGUGCACUGAGGGCAGGUAACAGUCUACAAGUAACAGUCUACAGGUAACGGUCUACAGGUGUGCACUGAGGGCAGGUAACAGUCUACAAGUAACAGUCUACAGGUAACAGUCUACAGGUGUGCACUGAGGGCAGGUAACAGUCUACAAGUAACAGUCUACAGGUAACAGUCUACAGGUGUGCACUGAGGGCAGGUAACAGUCUACAAGUAACAGUCUACAGGUAACGGUCUACAGGUGUGCACUGAGGGCAGGUAACAGUCUACAAGUAACGGUCUACAGGUGUGCACUGAGGGCAAGUAAAAGUCUACAAGUAACAGUCUACAGGUAACGGUCUACAGGUGUGCACUGAGGGCAGGUAACAGUCUACAAGUAACGGUCUACUGGUGUGUGAACUUCAAGCAGGAGAUCAUUAAUGUGACUGGAUGUCUGGCUAUUGUGGGGGCGGGGUUUAAUGUGCAUGGGUGGG
Dicentrarchus labrax (European seabass) is the source of this 635-nucleotide long non-coding RNA. RefSeq lists it as uncharacterized. The record is from RefSeq and is a predicted model, not a curated record. The transcript is spliced from 5 exons. NCBI's taxonomy places the organism in Eukaryota, Metazoa, Chordata, Actinopteri, Moronidae.